RNAcentral lists this small RNA (892 nucleotides) under Ixodes scapularis (black-legged tick). Its description in RNAcentral is "uncharacterized LOC115313526, transcript variant X1". Lineage: Eukaryota; Metazoa; Arthropoda; Arachnida; Ixodida; Ixodidae. The record is from RNAcentral.
AGAUCCCGUGUGAGAGAGUGGGGGGGUCGCUUCAAACAAAUCCUUCAGCUCUUGCUGCUGCUGCUGCUGCUGGAAACCUCCCUCCAAAGGCACAAACAGCAAUCAAAAGACAAAUGCCAGCCCUCCAAGAUAGAUGAAACAACGGAAGCCAGAAGGAGAAAACCAGGACGCACCUUGUCCUGGAAAGGGAGCACCCCAGCUCGUCUGCUCCCCGAGGGGACCAGGGCACGUCUGUCCACGUGCAACCAGUGAGCGCCGUCAAAGCGGGAGCCACUCACAAACUCGACUCCGACCAUGAGGUCCUGGCUGGUGUCGUGAAGGUGGCCCAGCCAGCGGACAGUGCCAUACUCGGGGCCGUGGUCGCUCACCCAGACCACGCGGUCAUUGACCCUGAGGGGCACCUCCAGGGCCAGCUCGCACAAGCCCAGGCGCUCAUGCUGCGGCGGAUCCGAGCGAGUCACGCCUGGCAGAACCUUCUUCUUGGAAGGCAACCGGGGAGCCACAGAGUUGGGCCCUGCACCCAAGAACAGUAGACGCGCACAUCAAGACUAUCCAUGAUCAGCGAAUACAGUCUAAUCAUGUGGAGAAAACAUGGUUCACUUUCGUAUGCCAAUAUAAUUCUAAAAAAAAAACUGUGUUUUAGUAUACUUUAGAGCUGAACAAGCUAAGCUCACAAGCUGCAUGCCGCCCCAGGUGGUGUUCCACACAGCCCCCACUCAGCCCCUUUAGUCUUUAACUACCUGUCAUCUAUAACUAUUAUAUACCGUUUAAAUUGUGAAUCAAAUGAUACCAUUCUCUCUAAAUGGCAACAAAGUGGAUCAAAUUAUACGAAAGAAUUACACAUAACGGACAGAGUAUGGACAGCACAUAAAUAAAGAAUUCGCAAAUCUUC